Small nucleolar RNA from Salvia hispanica, 109 nucleotides. RefSeq annotates it as small nucleolar RNA snoR97. The record is from RefSeq and is a predicted model, not a curated record. Lineage: Eukaryota; Viridiplantae; Streptophyta; Magnoliopsida; Lamiales; Lamiaceae.
GUAACCUUAUUGGCUGAGGGUCUGGAAAACUCAUACAUCACAUGUGUUGUUUAUCAGCUUCUCUCUCGAUUUUUCUACGAGACUGGAGUUAAAUCUCAGCGCAACAAUC